AGUGAGAGGAGCGAAUGCGAACAGGGCGGUCUGGGGAGGGGUGAACUGACCGGACGUCUUUCGGUCUGAAAUCGAGCGGCACGCACUGUUAUCAGUUCCAGAGGAGAAGAAAACCAAAAGCCGACGCGACACUCCGACGCCUUCGAACAAGUUACAGUCUGUCAUGUCGCAGACACCCUCACGCGCCAAUCACGAUCAGCGUUGAUCAGGCGACGCAACCCACCCCUUGCCAAUCAUGCCGUGCAGAUCAUCACUCCCACCGUUUCAGAUUUUCGUGCUUCGUCAGCGGUCGCCCGAGUCGGUUGCAUUGUCUCGCGUCCGGUCGGAAUGAAGCCCUCAUGGUUACAAUGAUAGUGUCGUGUCGUGAGUGCUUUCAGCUUGGCGUCGGGCAAUUGGAUAACUCUCACCUGAAUCCCGUGCCCGUGUUGUGACCUGCUGUUUGGACGCAAAAGUAGCAGUUGAAAUUACAAGCUCCUUCAAUUAAGGUAAGCCUAUGAAAUUUAAUCUACGUGUAAUUUAUCAACACAUUGACGCGGCGAAUUCUUCUC
This 548-nucleotide long non-coding RNA is filed under the name Bemisia tabaci. Its description in RNAcentral is "lncRNA ENSASIAIIG012558". Lineage: Eukaryota; Metazoa; Arthropoda; Insecta; Hemiptera; Aleyrodidae. The record is from RNAcentral.